GAGUUUGAUCCUGGCUCAGAACGAACGCUGGCGGCGUGCUUAACACAUGCAAGUCGAACGUGAUCCGGAGCUUGCUCUGGUGAAAGUGGCGCACGGGUGAGUAACGCGUGGAUAACCUGCCCUGGUAUCCGGGAUAACACCUCGAAAGGGGUGCUAAUACCGGAUAAGCCCACGGGCUCUUCGGAGCUUGCGGGAAAAGGUGGCCUCUGAAUAUGCUACUGUAUCAGGAUGGGUCCGCGUACCAUUAGCUAGUUGGUGGUGUAAUGGACCACCAAGGCGACGAUGGUUAGCUGGUCUGAGAGGAUGAUCAGCCACACUGGAACUGAGACACGGUCCAGACUCCUACGGGAGGCAGCAGUGGGGAAUUUUGCGCAAUGGGGGAAACCCUGACGCAGCAACGCCGCGUGAGUGAUGAAGGCCUUUGGGUCGUAAAGCUCUGUCAGAGGGGAAGAAAUGAUAUAGUGCUAAUACCACUUUAUCUUGACGGUACCCUCAAAGGAAGCACCGGCUAACUCCGUGCCAGCAGCCGCGGUAAUAC
This 538-nucleotide ribosomal RNA is filed under the name uncultured Geobacteraceae bacterium. Its description in RNAcentral is "bacterial SSU rRNA". It matches the Rfam family "Bacterial small subunit ribosomal RNA", at positions 9 to 526 of the family's 1533-position model. Lineage: Bacteria; Pseudomonadati; Thermodesulfobacteriota; Desulfuromonadia; Geobacterales; Geobacteraceae. The record is from RNAcentral.